AUGGAGUCUCACUUUGUCACCCAGGCUGGAGUGCAGUGGUGUGAUCUCGGCUCACUAUGGCCUCCCCAUCCUGGGUCCAAGCGAUUCUUGUGCCUCAACCUCCCGAGUAGCUGGAAUAGGCGCGUGCCACCACGACUGGCUAAUUUUGUAUCUUUAGUAGAGAUGGGGUUUUUCCACAUUGGUCAGGCUGGUCUCAAACUUCUGACCUCAGAUGAUCCGCCCACCUUGGCCACCCAAAGUGCUGGGAUUACAGGUGUGAACCACUGCACCCGGCCAGAAGUUUUUCUUACCCCUCCCUGGCGAUGCCAGAUUCACUGGGCUGGCAGAUUCUGCCCCCAAACCUGUCCAACCAGUUGUUUGAGAGGAGGGGGUACCUGGGAGGGGCAGCAGGAGAUGCCAGGAACAGCUUCCCCUAGCCCAGCACAGACUACAGACGGGGGAGCCUCUGGGGCUGCAGACACUGCAGACGGACGGACAGACAGAUGGACAACAGCGGGAGGCUUGGCCCGGCCAUAGGGCUCUCUGCGGGACAGUCCCAGCUGCUAGUGUCGCUGUUGCUGCUACUGACCCGUGUCCAGCCUGGGACACACGUGGGUGAGUAAGGGUGGGGAUUGGCACAGGGGUACCCGCUGCAUCUCAGGCUGCAGGACAGACCCAAGACCUCACUUUGUUUCCAAAUUCUCACACAUGGCUCCUGCCUCCUUCCUUUCCCUGAGGAGAGGUUUCCAGAUGUCCAGGACAAUGCAUGUCCCCAGGAAGCUCUGGCAAGCCCAGCCUGGGCAACAUAACAAGACCCCUUUUUUUAAAAAGAUUUUCUUUUUUUUAAGAUUUUUGUUUUUAAUUAGCUGGGUGUGGUGGAGUGCGCCUGUAAUCCCAGCUACUUGGGAGACUGAGGUGGGAGGAUGGCUUGAGCCCAUGCAGUGAACUAUGAAUGCGCCACUGCACUCCAGCCUGGGCCAAACAGCAAGACCCUGUCUCAAAAAAGAAAAGAAAAGAAAAGAAAAACUGGACAGGCUGAGAGAUACAGUCCUACAAUCUCUGCCCCCAACCCCAAUCUCUGACUGCUCCGCUUCUCUUUCUUUUUCUUUUUCCUUUUUUUCUUUCUUUCUUUUUUUUUUUUUUUUUUCGAGACAGAGUCUCCCACUGUCGCCCAGGCUGGAGUACAGUGGCGCGAUCUCGGCUCACCACAACCUCCGCCUCUCGGGUUCAAGCAAUUCUCCUGCCUCAGCCUCCUGAGUAGCUGAGAUUACAGCCAUGCGCCACUAUGUCUGGCUAAUUUUUGUAUUUUUAGUAGAAACAGGGUUUCACCAUAUUGGCCAGUCUGGUCUCGAACUCUUGACCUCGUGAUAUGCCCGCCUUAGUCUCCCAAAGUGCUGGGAUUACAGAUGUAAGCCACCGCGCCCGGCCUCCACUUCUCUUUCUAAACAUUAAGUGCCUCCUGCACUCAGAGUGCCCUGGGCUUCAGAGAUAGGACUGAGAGCUCUAAGAAAGGAAUCGUGACAAUCCUUCCCCAAGGAAGACUCUAGCCUGAACCUUUGGAGUUGAGUUGAAUUCAACGUAAAUGAAUCAAGUUGAACUGAACUGAACUGAACUGAACAGGGGCAGCUGCUGGAGACUCGCAUAGAAACCCACUCCAUCGUUCUGCUUCUCCUGGACCAGUAUUUGGGGUUGGGGAGGUCUGAGCUCUCCAACCAGCAAGGCUGGACACAGGCCAAGUUGCCAAUCCUGAGUCCCCUUUGGGGUACAGACCUGGGAAGCUUGUCCUCGUCCCCCACCCUUCCCCAGAGAGAUGAGGUGGGAGUCUGAGGGGGGACCUGGUCCUGAAGGCGAAGAUGCCUUGGGGCCAUGUUGGGAGGCGGCAGAGAACCAGGCAGGUUGAAGAGGACGUUCUAGACUCACUCGGAACCAAGCUCUGGCUUCAGAGCCCCCGGACCCUCUGGGCAGUCUGUGUCCAAGCCUGGGGUCUCAGCCAAGGGGACCUUCCUGUGCCAUCUCCCCGACCCCUGCCAAGCCACGCAUCCUCUCAUCAAGCCAAACAACCUAGACCAUGUGGGUGGAGCUGGAGGGACUUAAGUUGGAGGUCACUGGGCAUGUCAGGAACAGAGUUCAGCCUAGGGUCAGGCUGCCCCCAAAUUCCAGUUCCAUCCCAACAUGGCCCGGCCCGGGAGAGCUGUGCCUACCGCCAGGGUGGGACCUCCCAUGCCACCAUUGUCCUAGACCUCCCACAGUGCCCACCCCCAAUAGGCUCCUAAGAGAGGGGCCAGGGGCUGGACUCAGGCCUCCCACCCAUGCCCAUGGGGCAUAGAGUUGCCGGGAAAGCUUCCUGGUUCAUACCGGACCUGACCUCCCAGGAAGUGCCCGUACCUUGGGGCUCCCAUGUUAAGUCUGGAUCUGGGCGGGGGGAGACCAGAGCUGUUGGGGCUUGGUUGCCCCAUUUGGCCUCUCCUCUCUGCCCUCCCCUUCCAGCUGCCCGAGAGCACAUCAGCUAUGUGCCCCAGCUCUCAAACGACACCCUGGCGGGGAGGCUCACCCUGUCCACCUUCACGCUGGAGCAGCCUCUAGGCCAGUUCAGCAGCCACAACAUCUCUGACUUGGAUACCAUCUGGCUGGUGGUGGCCCUCAGCAACGGUGGGUGCUGCUGGGGCCAGGCCUUGGAUUCCCUAUGUGAAAUGGGCCUGCGGGCCUAAGGGUAGUAGCGGGUGUGUUGCAGGGAGAUGCAGGGAGCAGGUGCUGCAGGGGAUGGGGCCGGGGAGGGCUGUCAGGCUUGGUGAGGGUGGGAUCCUGCUGUGUGACCUGUCUGACCAUGGUGCCACCCUUAGCCACCCAGAGCUUCAUGGCCCCACGGACAAACCAGGACAUCCCUGCUCCUGCCAACUUCUCCCAGAGGGGCUACUAUCUCACACUGAGGGCCAACCGGGCGCUGUACCAGGCCAGAGGCCAGCUCCAUGUCCUCCGCAUCGGCAAUGAUACCCACUGCCAACCAACAAAAAUUGGCUGCAACCAUCCCCUACCAGGACCCGGCCCCUACAGGUGAGCGGCUCUGCCAGGCCCUGGCUCCUGCCCGCAUGCACCCAAGCCGGAGCCUGAGGCAGCUCCUACGAGGCUCACCACGGCCCCAGCAGGAUGCCUGGGUCCCCUGCUCCUGCUUGGCCAAAGGGAAGAGGAAGCAGCAGGCAGGGGCUGGGGAGGCCUUCAUGAAUUACGUGAAUUAUCCUUCUUUUCUUUUUUUUUUUCCUUUUCUUCUUCUUCU
Molecule: long non-coding RNA, 3250 nt
Organism: Pan troglodytes (chimpanzee)
Lineage: Eukaryota; Metazoa; Chordata; Mammalia; Primates; Hominidae
Source: Ensembl